UCUGAGGUGUAAGAGCUACAG
This 21-nucleotide non-coding RNA is filed under the name Arabidopsis thaliana (thale cress). The record is from RNAcentral. Lineage: Eukaryota; Viridiplantae; Streptophyta; Magnoliopsida; Brassicales; Brassicaceae.